Non-coding RNA from Aspergillus ibericus CBS 121593, 120 nucleotides. Lineage: Eukaryota; Fungi; Ascomycota; Eurotiomycetes; Eurotiales; Aspergillaceae. The record is from the annotation of a RefSeq genome assembly.
GGCAAGGUGGCCGAGUGGUCUAAGGCGCUGGUUUUAGGCGCUAUAAGAUUCGCAAAUCGAGUACUUAUAAACCCGAAACACCAGUUCGAAAGAGCAUGGGUUCGAAUCCCAUCCUUGUCA